RNAcentral lists this ribosomal RNA (253 nucleotides) under uncultured bacterium. Its description in RNAcentral is "partial 16S ribosomal RNA". It matches the Rfam family "Bacterial small subunit ribosomal RNA", at positions 524 to 776 of the family's 1533-position model. The record is from RNAcentral.
UACGUAGGGUGCAAGCGUUAAUCGGAAUUACUGGGCGUAAAGCGUGCGCAGGCGGUUGUGCAAGACAGAUGUGAAAUCCCCGGGCUUAACCUGGGAACUGCAUUUGUGACUGCACGGCUAGAGUGUGUCAGAGGGGGGUAGAAUUCCACGUGUAGCAGUGAAAUGCGUAGAUAUCAGGAGGAAUACCGAUGGCGAAGGCAGGUCUCUGGGCUGACACUGACGCUCAUGCACGAAAGCGUGGGGAGCAAACAGG